AUCAACUUUCGAUGGUAGGAUAGAGGCCUACCAUGGUGGUAACGGGUAACGGGGGUGUUAGGGCACGACACCGGAGAGGGAGCCUGAGAAACGGCUACCACAUCCAAGGAUGGCAGCAGGCGCGCAAAUUACCCAAUCCCGACACGGGGAGGUAGUGACAAUAAAUAACAAUACGGGGUUCUUUCGGAUUUCGUAAUUGGAAUGAGUACAAUUUAAAUCUCUUAACGAGGAACAAUUGGAGGGCAAGUCUGGUGCCAGCAGCCGCGGUAAUUCCAGCUCCAAUAGCGUAUAUUAAAGUCGCUGCAGUUAAAAAGCUCGUAGUUGAAUUUCGGGACCAAUAUGUCGGUCGUGCCUCGGUACGUACUGGCAUCGUUGGUUUCUCCCUUCUGACGAACCAUGAUGUCAUUUAUUUGGUGUCGUGGGGAAUCAGGACUGUUACUUUGAAAAAAUUAGAGUGUUUAAAGCAGGCUCACGCUUGAAUACAUUAGCAUGGAAUAAUGAAAUAGGACGUUUGAUUCUAUUUUGUUGGUUUCUAGGAUCGACGUAAUGAUUAAUAGGGAUAGUUGGGGGCAUUAGUAUUCAAUUGUCAGAGGUGAAAUUCUUGGAUUUAUUGAAGACUAACUACUGCGAAAGCAUUUGCCAAGGAUGUUUUCAUUAAUCAAGAACGAAAGUUAGGGGAUCGAAGACGAUCAGAUACCGUCGUAGUCUUAACCAUAAACUAUGCCGACUAGGGAUCGGAUGAUGUUAAUUUUUUAAUGACUCAUUCGGCGCCUUACGGGAAACCAAAGUGUUUGGGUUC
Molecule: ribosomal RNA, 799 nt
Filed under: uncultured Glomus
Lineage: Eukaryota; Fungi; Glomeromycota; Glomeromycetes; Glomerales; Glomeraceae
Description: SSU rRNA
Rfam family: Eukaryotic small subunit ribosomal RNA
Source: RNAcentral